GUUGGUUCUACCUGAAGGCGGUGCGCCAACCCGCGAGGGGGGCAGCCGACCACGGUAGGGUCAGCGACUGGGGUGAAGUCGUAACAAGGUAGCCGUAGGUGAACCUGCAGAAGGAUCA
RNAcentral lists this ribosomal RNA (118 nucleotides) under uncultured eukaryote. RNAcentral describes it as "partial small subunit ribosomal RNA". It matches the Rfam family "Bacterial small subunit ribosomal RNA", at positions 1410 to 1525 of the family's 1533-position model. The record is from RNAcentral.